Sinocyclocheilus rhinocerous is the source of this 423-nucleotide long non-coding RNA. RefSeq lists it as uncharacterized. Lineage: Eukaryota; Metazoa; Chordata; Actinopteri; Cypriniformes; Cyprinidae. The transcript has 3 exons. The record is from RefSeq and is a predicted model, not a curated record.
AAUAAAUUAAGUUUCUUCCUCAAAAAGUUGGAAACAUCAGCAAAAGUAUAAAUUUGGGAGCCAGUUGGGUAUAUAUUAUGCAGUUUCCUAAGAUGUACUGAUCAUAUUUUGUUAGAAGUGCAGUAUUUUUCAGGGAGUAACUAUGCUAACUAUCCACUUUCUCUAAUGACAUCAUACUCCAGGAAGUGACAUCACUUUGGAGGCAAAACAGCACAAACGUAAGCAUGAGGGACCUACAUGUAUGAUGGAGUCUAUAAAGUUGCCCCACGUCUCCCCGUACAAGACGGCUGCAUGUGGCUGAAAGCUGAUACCAGAUUCCUGAGGUGAUUCUCAGCAGUCAAGGACGUCUGACCCACACACAUUUAUAGACAUUUUGUGCCUGUCAUGACCCGAACGAAAGGUCACAAGAGCACUGGAGCCGGA